CCGCCCGUAGCUCAGCUGGAUAGAGCGCUGCCCUCCGGAGGCAGAGGUCACAGAUUCGAAUUCUGUCGGGCGGGCCA
Molecule: transfer RNA, 77 nt
Filed under: Halieaceae bacterium
Lineage: Bacteria; Pseudomonadati; Pseudomonadota; Gammaproteobacteria; Cellvibrionales; Halieaceae
Description: tRNA-Arg
Rfam family: tRNA
About the family: Transfer RNA (tRNA) molecules are approximately 80 nucleotides in length. Their secondary structure includes four short double-helical elements and three loops (D, anti-codon, and T loops). Further hydrogen bonds mediate the characteristic L-shaped molecular structure. tRNAs have two regions of fundamental functional importance: the anti-codon, which is responsible for specific mRNA codon recognition, and the 3' end, to which the tRNAs corresponding amino acid is attached (by aminoacyl-tRNA synthetases). tRNAs cope with the degeneracy of the genetic code in two manners: having more than one tRNA (with a specific anti-codon) for a particular amino acid; and 'wobble' base-pairing, i.e. permitting non-standard base-pairing at the 3rd anti-codon position.
Source: RNAcentral